Hordeum vulgare subsp. vulgare (domesticated barley) is the source of this 202-nucleotide non-coding RNA. Lineage: Eukaryota; Viridiplantae; Streptophyta; Magnoliopsida; Poales; Poaceae. The record is from Rfam.
CUACUAUCCAGCGAAACCACAGCCAAGGGAACGGGCUUGGCGGAAUCAGCGGGGAAAGAAGACCCUGUUGAGCUUGACUCUAGUCCGACUUUGUGAAAGGGCUUGAGAGGUGUAGGAUAAGUGGGAGCCCUUACGGGCGCAAGUGAAAUACCACUACUUUUAACGUUAUUUUACUUAUUCCGUGGGUCGGAAGCGGGGCAUG